AUGUUAACUCUGCCUGUAGCUCCUCCUAGGGCUACUGCCGGUUCCAAGCCCGGGUAAAGGAGGAGGGUUGG
Non-coding RNA from Schistosoma mansoni, 71 nucleotides. NCBI's taxonomy places the organism in Eukaryota, Metazoa, Platyhelminthes, Trematoda, Strigeidida, Schistosomatidae. The record is from Rfam.